CCAGUUUCUGACCUAGUGCUCUCUCUGUGUCCCACAGGGUGAUGAAGGGCCAGUGGGACCACCUGGCAAUCCAGGGGCAGAGGGUCCACGUGGCCGGAAGGGAUUUCCAGGCAAACCAGGUUCUGAGGGCUUAAAGGGUGAACCCGGGAAUCCAGGUCGAACGGGACAAGUGGGCGAUCAGGUAAAUCCAUUCAGUGUCUUUUGCUCCUUUCUCUGUCACUUCUGUCUGGGAAAUUUUGUCCUCAUGUGCUGAUCUUUUCUAGGAAUGUGUUUGGUUUUGUUUGCCCAAGACAGUUCUCAGGGUUAGCUGUCUCAGGAAUUCGAGAUGGAUGAAUCUGUCAAUUUUAUUUUCUCUUGCUUUCUCAAGCUUAGUUCCUCCUAAGCUUUGAGAACCUUU
RNAcentral lists this long non-coding RNA (397 nucleotides) under Varanus komodoensis (Komodo dragon). RNAcentral's name for it is "lncRNA (ENSVKKG00000017255.1)". Lineage: Eukaryota; Metazoa; Chordata; Lepidosauria; Squamata; Varanidae. The record is from RNAcentral.